UCUGCUAUCACCGUCUUGGUUUUGUAUUUUUGAAGUCAAAAGGUUCAAGAUUUCAACCAAGAUUCUACCCCCAAAUCUUACACAUCAGUCGAGAUUCACAGCUUAGAAAAACAGAUAAAUCGUUGUCGACGGACAUUGUAGAAUCCAACGGUAACAACUCAGCAGAAGCCUCUGAUCGGUCAAUUUCUACCCAUUCUUUCAUGGAAUCCAAUAUGGUAAAGUAAAUGUCGUACUCACCCUCUUCUCCUUCCUCUUUCGCCCUUGACCUCGUUGUAUUUCUGAACCUAAUUUGAGUAGGUAUGCUGCUGAUAAUUUCCCCUCAUGUCUUGGUGAUGACUUUCAAUCGAAGGGGGUGGAGCUCCAGGCAAGUUACCCUUAUAUAAACAUGUUUUUUGAAUGGAUUGUUUUUGCUCUUAUAAUAAUAGUAAAGUACCAUUAGUAUCAUGAUUGAGAAAUCUCGCAUGCUGUUAGUUAUUUUAUCUUUUACAGCCAUACCCUACUUUACAUGUACAGUGACUAUGCUAAAGUUCCAAGAACCGGAAUAAUCCCUAAAUUGCUUGUUCCAUGAAGCUUGAUGUACCAUGCCCUAAUAAUUCAUCCAAGUGUUUGCUAACUAGUAACUUCCAUGCCUAUGUUUCAUAAGCUUUUCAUUUUUCUUUGAUUGAGCAAACAGUCUGGGGACACUCUUUGAGGCAUAUAAACUUGGUAAAGAUGCUCACAAGCAGCACCCACCUGCCCAAACAUCUUGCCUAUUUUGUAUUUACAAAAGUGUAGAUGAAGGUUUUAGAUUUUUAUGCGUAAUUGUUCUCGAAUGUAAUUUGGUUCAAGUCCUACUACAAACUGUGCGUAAUUAGUAUUAGUUUGAAUUUUGGGAAACCUUAAUUACUACCAAGUUGUAUGUUUAUUGGAAUGAAUUUGGUUAUGCAUUUACAGAAAAGGUUAACAAAACUUCAUUGCAUUUAGAACUGGAAUAUGAAUUUUUGUAGUUUAAGCCUGAUGGUUCAUAAAGUAAAGUACUUUUGCAGAGUCUAGAGUUGUAUCAAGUAAUACAACGGUUAUGAAUUAGGUGACUACCAUUGCAGUUACCACAUGAUCAUUUGACAAAUAUUGUCUGUCUAAUACUUUUUUUCUAUAACUUUAAUAGCGACCUCAAAUCUUGCAUACACUUUCUAUUGGCAGCAUGCUGAGUUUGGUUUUGCUUCUUUAAGUAAACCAGUUGCAGGUCUGACAACUGCUUGUUUCAUCAUCCUUUCUUUUCAUUGGUCACAUUAGUUUACAUUUUAGGCCCCUAGACAUUAUUUCUCCAUUGUAGGUAUAAUGUAGUAUGUCAAUGUCAAUAUGUCAUCUCAUACUUAGUUGGGUGAAUUCGCAUCACUAUAAAGUUAAUCUUGGGUGGGUUAUCCUUGGGGUACCACAUAUGUGUGAGACUAGCAUCAAAGAAAAUUCAUACUUGUUUUAUGUUUUUACCAUGAUACUAACAACAUUGAUCUUAUUCAAUUCUACUUGAAAAUGCAGAGUCAAAAUCAUUAUUCACAUAUAAUGGGUGUCUGUUGUACUUUUAGCAUUCGGGAUUGGUGGGUGUUGGUGGAGGUUUUAGUACGAGCAUGUGUGGGAUAGCCAUGCUUAUCAUCAGGUAAGUUUGUCUGCAACCGUUGUUUAACUUUUCUAAUUCUUUCUUCCUUGCCUUUUGAAGAAAGUAUGAAACACAAAAAUAAUCAGAAAGUAUUGAUUAGAAACUGACAUGAGUUAGUAAAUGUUUCUCAGACUAAGUAAAAGAAUCCAAUAUAUUUCAUACGUUUAAAUUGAACGAUCUCUAUGUCUUGGAAUUAUAUUACAACAAAUACUUGUAAUUUAAUUCAACAACUGGUUACAAAAAAAGCUUAUGAGUGAUUCGGAGGUGUCCUAUUUGAUGCAGAGUUUCCCUUUGGUUAUUUGUUUG
RNAcentral lists this long non-coding RNA (1939 nucleotides) under Lactuca sativa (garden lettuce). RNAcentral's name for it is "long non-coding RNA (LSAT_LNC008078)". Lineage: Eukaryota; Viridiplantae; Streptophyta; Magnoliopsida; Asterales; Asteraceae. The record is from RNAcentral.